Molecule: ribosomal RNA, 467 nt
Filed under: uncultured bacterium
Lineage: Bacteria
Description: partial 16S ribosomal RNA
Rfam family: Bacterial small subunit ribosomal RNA
Source: RNAcentral
GACGAACGCUGGCGGCGUGCUUAACACAUGCCAGUCGAACGGAAAGGCCCUGCUUUUGUGGGGUGCUCGAGUGGCGAACGGGUGAGUAACACGUGAGUAACCUGCCCUUGACUUUGGGAUAACUUCAGGAAACUGGGGCUAAUACCGGAUAGGAGCUCCUGCUGCAUGGUGGGGGUUGGAAAGUUUCGGCGGUUGGGGAUGGACUCGCGGCUUAUCAGCUUGUUGGUGGGGUAGUGGCUUACCAAGGCUUUGACGGGUAGCCGGCCUGAGAGGGUGACCGGCCACAUUGGGACUGAGAUACGGCCCAGACUCCUACGGGAGGCAGCAGUGGGAAUAUUGCACAAUGGGCGGAAGCCUGAUGCAGCAACGCCGCGUGCGGGAUGACGGCCUUCGGGUUGUAAACCGCUUUCGCCUGUGACGAAGCGUGAGUGACGGUAAUGGGUAAAGAAGCACCGACUAACUACGUG